CAGCUCUUAGAUGGAAUGUUUGUGAGGUUAAAGGAUGAGAUGCUCACUUAGGGAAGAUAUUAAAGGAGAAGAUUUUGAGGAUUUCAAGCUGUGAGACUUUAAUAUAGUUUUGAACUUCAUGAGAAAAGCAAAGGGCAAGAAGUGAGGUGGAAAACAUGAACUUCGAUUCAGCUUUGAAGCUUCUCAUUGGUACCCUAGUAUUCUGUACAUAUAUAGGUUUAAAGCUACUUAGGAUAAAGAUCCUGCCCCCUGCCCAUCUGAGGUAUGGCCUUAGCAGUUAGCCAGAGACUUAUGUUUCAGAUAGUCUUCAGAAGACAAAUAGGGCUUCUGGGCAUUUCCACAGCACCUCCUAUGGGAGUAUAAUUAUGAAGUA
RNAcentral lists this long non-coding RNA (373 nucleotides) under Bos taurus (domestic cattle). Its description in RNAcentral is "long non-coding RNA NONBTAT018901". The record is from RNAcentral. Lineage: Eukaryota; Metazoa; Chordata; Mammalia; Artiodactyla; Bovidae.